This 497-nucleotide ribosomal RNA is filed under the name uncultured bacterium. RNAcentral's name for it is "partial 16S ribosomal RNA". It matches the Rfam family "Bacterial small subunit ribosomal RNA", at positions 28 to 507 of the family's 1533-position model. The record is from RNAcentral.
GAUGAACGCUGGCGGCGUGCCUAAUACAUGCAAGUCGAGCGAACAGACGAGGAGCUUGCUCCUCUGACGUUAGCGGCGGACGGGUGAGUAACACGUGGAUAACCUACCUAUAAGACUGGGAUAACUUCGGGAAACCGGAGCUAAUACCGGAUAAUAUAUUGAACCGCAUGGUUCAAUAGUGAAAGACGGUUUUGCUGUCACUUCUAGAUGGAUCCGCGCCGCAUUAGCUAGUUGGUAAGGUAACGGCUUACCAAGGCAACGAUGCGUAGCCGACCUGAGAGAGUGAUCGGCCACACUGGAACUGAGACACGGUCCAGACUCCUACGGGAGGCAGCAGUAGGGAAUCUUCCGCAAUGGGCGAAAGCCUGACGGAGCAACGCCGCGUGAGUGAUGAAGGUCUUCGGAUCGUAAAACUCUGUUAUUAGGGAAGAACAAAUGUGUAAGUAACUAUGCACGUCUUGACGGUACCUAAUCAGAAAGCCACGGCUAACUACGUG